This 620-nucleotide ribosomal RNA is filed under the name uncultured fungus. Its description in RNAcentral is "eukaryotic LSU rRNA". The stretch from base 187 to 340 matches the Rfam family "5.8S ribosomal RNA". Lineage: Eukaryota; Fungi. The record is from RNAcentral.
UCCGUAGGUGAACCUGCGGAAGGAUCAUUAAAGAUUCGACCUUUUGGUCUAUCUCUCUUCAGCUGUGCGCUUAGGCUGCACGCUGUUGAACCUUUCACACCUGUGCACCAUUCGGUUGCGGUUUCGAGCCGCUUCCGCUUUUACACAUACACCACAGUCCAGAAUGUAAACACAAUAACAAAUAACAACUUUCAACAACGGAUCUCUUGGCUCUCGCAUCGAUGAAGAACGCAGCGAAAUGCGAUAAGUAAUGUGAAUUGCAGAAUUCAGUGAAUCAUCGAAUCUUUGAACGCAUCUUGCGCUCCUUGGUAUUCCAUGGAGCAUGCCUGUUUGAGUGUCACGUAAACCCUCACCCUGGUGAUGUCAAAGUCGCCUGUGGUGGAUUUGGACCGUGCCGUAAUUGGCUCGUCCUGAAAUGCAUUAGCUUGUUUGCUUUAGAUGUGCGCGCAUGGUGUGAUAAUUAUCUGCGCCAUUGCCUUAGGCCUCUUCUGUGUGCGCUGCUUCCAAUCGUCCCUCGUGGACAACAUAUUUUAAGGCUUUGGGGCCUCAAAUCCAGGGGGUAGGGGACUACCCGGCUGGAACUUAAGGCAUAUCAAUAAGGCGGGGAGGGGAAGGUCGGA